Molecule: ribosomal RNA, 253 nt
Filed under: uncultured bacterium
Lineage: Bacteria
Description: partial 16S ribosomal RNA
Rfam family: Bacterial small subunit ribosomal RNA
Source: RNAcentral
AACGUAGGACGCAAGCGUUAUCCGGAUUUACUGGGCGUAAAGCGCGAGCAGGCGGCUCGACAAGUUCGAUGUGAAAGCGCCCGGCUCAACCGGGCGAGGCCAUUGGAAACUAUCGAGCUGGAGGGCAGUAGAGGCAGGCGGAAUUCCGGGUGGAGUGGUGAAAUGCGUAGAGAUCCGGAGGAACACCAGAGGCGAAGGCGGCCUGCUGGGCUGCACCUGACGCUGAGCCGCGAAAGCCAGGGGAGCGAACGGG